UUAGCUCAGUUGGUAGAGCAUCUGACUUUUAAUCAGAGGGUCGAAGGUUCGAGUCCUUCA
RNAcentral lists this transfer RNA (60 nucleotides) under Bacillus cereus. Its description in RNAcentral is "tRNA-Lys". It matches the Rfam family "tRNA", at positions 7 to 64 of the family's 71-position model. Rfam says of the family: Transfer RNA (tRNA) molecules are approximately 80 nucleotides in length. Their secondary structure includes four short double-helical elements and three loops (D, anti-codon, and T loops). Lineage: Bacteria; Bacillati; Bacillota; Bacilli; Caryophanales; Bacillaceae. RNAcentral also lists the same sequence under 1 other name. The record is from RNAcentral.